RNAcentral lists this ribosomal RNA (523 nucleotides) under uncultured bacterium. RNAcentral describes it as "partial 16S ribosomal RNA". It matches the Rfam family "Bacterial small subunit ribosomal RNA", at positions 355 to 870 of the family's 1533-position model. The record is from RNAcentral.
UGGGGAAUUUUGGACAAUGGGCGAAAGCCUGAUCCAGCAAUGCCGCGUGUGUGAAGAAGGCCUUUGGGUUGUAAAGCACUUUUGUCCGGAAAGAAAUCCUUGGCUCUAAUACAGUCGGGGGAUGACGGUACCGGAAGAAUAAGCACCGGCUAACUACGUGCCAGCAGCCGCGGUAAUACGUAGGGUGCAAGCGUUAAUCGGAAUUACUGGGCGUAAAGCGUGCGCAGGCGGUUUGCUAAGACCGAUGUGAAAUCCCCGGGCUCAACCUGGGAACUGCAUUGGUGACUGGCAGGCUAGAGUAUGGCAGAGGGGGGUAGAAUUCCACGUGUAGCAGUGAAAUGCGUAGAGAUGUGGAGGAAUACCGAUGGCGAAGGCAGCCCCCUGGGCCAAUACUGACGCUCAUGCACGAAAGCGUGGGGAGCAAACAGGAUUAGAUACCCUGGUAGUCCACGCCCUAAAACGAUGUCAACUAGUUGUUGGGGAUUCAUUUCCUUAGUAACGUAGCUAACGCGUGAAGUUGACC